This 689-nucleotide long non-coding RNA is filed under the name Triticum aestivum (bread wheat). Its description in RNAcentral is "long non-coding RNA (TAES_LNC005329)". Lineage: Eukaryota; Viridiplantae; Streptophyta; Magnoliopsida; Poales; Poaceae. The record is from RNAcentral.
AGGAAAUCACAUUUAGAAUCAACUCGGAUUUUUAAAGGAGUUUCAAACUGUAAUAAGAAAGUUCAACAUAGCUCUCAGAUAGCCACUCUGUAGAUCAAAAAAACAUAAAGCAUCUUAAGUUACCAAACGAUAACAUUGGAAGGUUACGGUUUGACCUAUCUCAAAUGUAGAGGUGACAUUAAAUGGCCACAACUUUCAGUCGCUAGUUGGAAGCAAAGUCAUCUCAUCAGUGACUAAUCGGUUAGCAGAACUUCUGAAGAGAAAUGGAAGCAGAGUCACUAGCGCCUUCGCGCACCCCACAGUGAGAUCCCUGGCGAUUCACCUGGAAAUGGGGUCAGAAAGCUCAUGUCGCACUGCACCUGGGAAUUGGAGUACAGUUCCUCAAUGUAAAGAAGAUGCAUCACAAAAUUGAUAUUAUUGAGUAUUGACUUAGAUUUGACGUGUUCUAUUUGAUGAAACAUAUGAGAAAGUAUAUUGUGUCCAAGAAUCAACAGGAAAACAGUAAGAGAAACAUCUAAUACAAUCUGCAACUAGGUAGUACUCCUACAAACCAUGCUGGCUGAGUAAUAGCUAAUCUGCAACUACAUAGUACUCCUACAAACGCAAGCAACCGUCUCACCUUCACUGACAACUGCGGAGUCUGCUUGAAGUUGGAACUGCGGUUCAAGUCUCAGAAGCAACAUAGUUGG